GACGAACGCUGGCGGCGUGCCUAAUACAUGCAAGUCGAGCGAACAGGCGAGGAGCUUGCUCCAAUGUCGAGAGCGGCGGACGGGUGAGUAACGCGUGGAUAAUCUACCUUUAAGCGUGGGACAACUUCGGGAAACGGGUGCUAAUACCGGAUAAUAUCUUGAACCAUAAGGUUUAAUAGUGAAAGAUGCAAUUGCAGCACCUAAUAGAUGGCUCCCCGUCGCUUUAGUUGGUUGGUAAGUAAACGGCCUACCAGGGGAACAAAGCUUAGCCGACCUGAGAGGUGAUUCGCCCACACGGGAACUGGAACACGCUCCAGACGCCUACGGGAGGAACCAGAAGGGAAUCUUCCGCAAGGGGGGAAAGCUGGACGGAGCAACGCGGCGUGGGGAAGAAAGGUCUUCGGUUCUAAAAACCCGUUUGUAAGGGAGAAACAUAUGUGGAGUGAAAUGUGCACGACGUGACGGUACCUAAUCAGAAAGCCACGGCUAACUACGUG
RNAcentral lists this ribosomal RNA (497 nucleotides) under uncultured bacterium. RNAcentral describes it as "partial 16S ribosomal RNA". It matches the Rfam family "Bacterial small subunit ribosomal RNA", at positions 28 to 507 of the family's 1533-position model. The record is from RNAcentral.